AGAGUUUGAUCAUGGCUCAGGACGAACGCUGGCGGCGUGCUUAACACAUGCAAGUCGAACGGAAAGGCCCUUCGGGGUACUCGAGUGGCGAACGGGUGAGUAACACGUGGGUGAUCUGCCCUGCACUCUGGGAUAAGCCUGGGAAACUGGGUCUAAUACCGGAUAGGACCGCAUGCUUCAUGGUGUGUGGUGCAAAGCUUUUGCGGUGUGGGAUGAGCCCGCGGCCUAUCAGCUUGUUGGUGGGGUAUUGGCCUACCAAGGCGACGACGGGUAGCCGGCCUGAGAGGGUGACCGGCCACACUGGGACUGAGAUACGGCCCAGACUCCUACGGGAGGCAGCAGUGGGGAAUAUUGCACAAUGGGCGCAAGCCUGAUGCAGCGACGCCGCGUGAGGGAUGACGGCCUUCGGGUUGUAAACCUCUUUCAGUAGGGACGAAGCGAAAGUGACGGUACCUACAGAAGAAGGACCGGCCAACUACGUGCCAGCAGCCGCGGUAAUACGUAGGGUCCGAGCGUUGUCCGGAAUUACUGGGCGUAAAGAGCUCGUAGGUGGUUAUAUAAGACAGAUGUGAAAUCCCCGGGCUCAACCUGGGAACUGCAUUUGUGACUGUAUAGCUAGAGUACGGCAGAGGGGGAUGGAAUUCCGCGUGUAGCAGUGAAAUGCGUAGAUAUGCGGAGGAACACCGAUGGCGAAGGCAAUCCCCUGGGCCUGUACUGACGCUCAUGCACGAAAGCGUGGGGAGCAAACAGGAUUAGAUACCCUGGUAGUCCAA
This 773-nucleotide ribosomal RNA is filed under the name uncultured bacterium. RNAcentral describes it as "bacterial SSU rRNA". It matches the Rfam family "Bacterial small subunit ribosomal RNA", at positions 8 to 798 of the family's 1533-position model. The record is from RNAcentral.